Molecule: long non-coding RNA, 363 nt
Filed under: Capra hircus (goat)
Lineage: Eukaryota; Metazoa; Chordata; Mammalia; Artiodactyla; Bovidae
Description: lncRNA (ENSCHIG00000008036.1)
Source: RNAcentral
CAUGGGCUUUCCCUCCAUUUUACAGAGAACAGUCUGAUCAUGGUCCCAGGAGUUGAAAGUGUAGCUACCAUGGUAGCCUUCUCAGACAUGGCCUGUAAAGUAGCUCUGAACCUAAGAGUGAUAGAACCCUGGACAAGUUCAUUAACCUCUGAGACUUCCUGCCUCAACUCUUAAAGAGUGGAGAGCUAUAACAACCACCUGUCAAGAUGAGGAGUCAGCCAGGACUGCAGGACAGAUGGGUCAACACAAGCAGACUGAGGCAAGCACGGUGCAUGAGGAAGCUUUUCCCAUUUUCCAUUUCUUCCUUUUAUAACUUUUAACCUCUUAACAUUUAAACUUUUCCCAUGAUUCUUAUUCCUGUGG